UACGUAGGUGGCAAGCGAUACUCGGAAUCACUAGGCGUAAAGCGCAGGUAGGCGGCUUGAUAAGUCUUUUGUGAAAGCUCCUGGCUUAACUGGGAGAGGUCAAAGGAAACUGUCAGGCUAGAGUUUGGUAGGGGAUACUGGAAUUCCUGGUGUAGCGGUGAAAUGCGUAGAUAUCAGGAGGAAUACCGAUGGCGAAGGCAGGUCUCUGGGCUGACACUGACGCUCAUGCACGAAAGCGUGGGGAGCAAACAGG
RNAcentral lists this ribosomal RNA (253 nucleotides) under uncultured bacterium. RNAcentral describes it as "partial 16S ribosomal RNA". It matches the Rfam family "Bacterial small subunit ribosomal RNA", at positions 524 to 776 of the family's 1533-position model. The record is from RNAcentral.